This 488-nucleotide ribosomal RNA is filed under the name uncultured bacterium. RNAcentral describes it as "partial 16S ribosomal RNA". It matches the Rfam family "Bacterial small subunit ribosomal RNA", at positions 30 to 505 of the family's 1533-position model. The record is from RNAcentral.
AUUGAACGCUGGCGGCAGGCCUAACACAUGCAAGUCGAACGGUAACAGGAAGAAGCUUGCUUCCUUGCUGACGAGUGGCGGACGGGUGAGUAAUGUCUGGGAAACUGCCUGAUGGAGGGGGAUAACUACUGGAAACGGUAGCUAAUACCGCAUAACGUCGCAAGACCAAAGAGGGGGACCUUCGGGCCUCUUGCCAUCGGAUGUGCCCAGAUGGGAUUAGCUUGUUGGUGGGGUAACGGCUCACCAAGGCGACGAUCCCUAGCUGGUCUGAGAGGAUGACCAGCCACACUGGAACUGAGACACGGUCCAGACUCCGACGGGAGGCAGCAGUGGGGAAUAUGGCACAAGGGGCGCAAGCCUGAUGCAGCCAUGCCGCGUGUAUGAAGAAGGCCUUCGGGUUGUAAAGUACUUUCAGCGGGGAGGAAGGGAGUAAAGUUAAUACCUUUGCUCAUUGACGUUACCCGCAGAAGAAGCACCGGCUAACUCCG